UUUAUAGAAAAUAAAAAACUUCGUAUAACUCCAAAGAUAUGGUUUGGGGGUCUCUACCAGGAACCAAUAAUUCCUGAUUACGAAGAAGGUACAUGUACUU
RNAcentral lists this non-coding RNA (100 nucleotides) under Neobacillus vireti. Its description in RNAcentral is "Bacillus vireti Guanine sequence". It matches the Rfam family "Purine riboswitch aptamer". From Rfam's summary of the family: Riboswitches are metabolite binding domains within certain messenger RNAs that serve as precision sensors for their corresponding targets. The record is from RNAcentral. Lineage: Bacteria; Bacillati; Bacillota; Bacilli; Caryophanales; Bacillaceae. RNAcentral also lists the same sequence under 1 other name.